CCGAACAUACAGGAAAUGGACCUGUCUAAAAAACUCAUACUGCUGCCGUUUGAUACGGCGGUCUUGUAAACCCCGAGAAAGAAAAUCGUUAUGCGAAGUUGGGCGAGGGGCGCCUCGCCGAGGGUUUAAUUUAAACCCUCGAAUCAAAGCGCACCCCACUUCAACCCCACUAAACUCUGAAUCUGAACUCAAAGGGGGGCAGCGCUCUUUACCGGGCGCGGCUCUCCCAACCUUUAACGUU
This 241-nucleotide unclassified non-coding RNA is filed under the name Alaria marginata. Its description in RNAcentral is "ITS1". Lineage: Eukaryota; Phaeophyceae; Laminariales; Alariaceae. The record is from RNAcentral.